RNAcentral lists this transfer RNA (85 nucleotides) under Pseudorhodoferax soli. RNAcentral describes it as "tRNA-Ser". It matches the Rfam family "tRNA". Rfam says of the family: Transfer RNA (tRNA) molecules are approximately 80 nucleotides in length. Their secondary structure includes four short double-helical elements and three loops (D, anti-codon, and T loops). Lineage: Bacteria; Pseudomonadati; Pseudomonadota; Betaproteobacteria; Burkholderiales; Comamonadaceae. RNAcentral also lists the same sequence under 1 other name. The record is from RNAcentral.
GGAAGCUUGGCAGAGUGGUCGAUUGCACCGGUCUUGAAAACCGGCGAUGGGAAACCAUCCGUGAGUUCGAAUCUCACAGCUUCCG